This 1171-nucleotide ribosomal RNA is filed under the name Kineococcus radiotolerans. RNAcentral's name for it is "bacterial SSU rRNA". It matches the Rfam family "Bacterial small subunit ribosomal RNA", at positions 261 to 1443 of the family's 1533-position model. Lineage: Bacteria; Bacillati; Actinomycetota; Actinomycetes; Kineosporiales; Kineosporiaceae. The record is from RNAcentral.
UGGCCUACCAAGGCGACGACGGGUAGCCGGCCUGAGAGGGCGACCGGCCACACUGGGACUGAGACACGGCCCAGACUCCUACGGGAGGCAGCAGUGGGGAAUAUUGCACAAUGGGCGAAAGCCUGAUGCAGCGACGCCGCGUGAGGGAUGACGGCCUUCGGGUUGUAAACCUCUUUCAGCUCCGAAGAAGCGCAAGUGACGGUAGGAGCAGAAGAAGCACCGGCUAACUACGUGCCAGCAGCCGCGGUAAUACGUAGGGUGCAAGCGUUGUCCGGAAUUAUUGGGCGUAAAGAGCUCGUAGGCGGUGUGUCGCGUCUGCUGUGAAACUCAGGGCUCAACUUCUGAGCUUGCAGUGGGUACGGGCACACUUGAGUGCUGUAGGGGAGACUGGAAUUCCUGGUGUAGCGGUGAAAGCGCAGAUAUCAGGAGGAACACCGGUGGCGAAGGCGGGUCUCUGGGCAGUUACUGACGCUGAGGAGCGAAAGCAUGGGGAGCGAACAGGAUUAGAUACCCUGGUAGUCCAUGCCGUAAACGUUGGGCGCUAGGUGUGGGGUCCAUUCCACGGAUUCCGUGCCGCAGCUAACGCAUUAAGCGCCCCGCCUGGGGAGUACGGCCGCAAGGCUAAAACUCAAAGGAAUUGACGGGGGCCCGCACAAGCGGCGGAGCAUGCGGAUUAAUUCGAUGCAACGCGAAGAACCUUACCAAGGCUUGACAUGCGCGGUGGAAUCCCAGAGAUGGGGUGUCAUUUAGUUGGUCGCGUACAGGUGGUGCAUGGUUGUCGUCAGCUCGUGUCGUGAGAUGUUGGGUUAAGUCCCGCAACGAGCGCAACCCUCGUUCCAUGUUGCCAGCACUUCGGGUGGGGACUCAUGGGAGACUGCCGGGGUCAACUCGGAGGAAGGUGGGGAUGACGUCAAAUCAUCAUGCCCCUUAUGUCUUGGGCUUCACGCAUGCUACAAUGGCCAGUACAGAGGGCUGCGAUACCGUGAGGUGGAGCGAAUCCCAAAAAGCUGGUCUCAGUUCGGAUCGGGGUCUGCAACUCGACCCCGUGAAGUCGGAGUCGCUAGUAAUCGCAGAUCAGCAACGCUGCGGUGAAUACGUUCCCGGGCCUUGUACACACCGCCCCGUCACGUCAUGAAAGUCGGUAACACCCGAAGCCGGUGGCCCAACCCGU